Long non-coding RNA from Lolium rigidum, 377 nucleotides. RefSeq lists it as uncharacterized. Lineage: Eukaryota; Viridiplantae; Streptophyta; Magnoliopsida; Poales; Poaceae. The record is from RefSeq and is a predicted model, not a curated record. The transcript is spliced from 4 exons.
AAUUUUUGGACAAGCUUUUGAGGAAAAGGCAGGCACAUGCAGCUAUCAGCAAAGUGAUAAUGUUUUCAGCAAAAAUAAUUCUGACAAUGACUUGUUUAUCUUGCAUCUGAUCGUUCAGCUACAAGGAAGAAGGAAUGAGGACAAGUUGAAGCAAUCUUGCUGGUAUGUUACUUCAAGAAGAACUUUCAGAUGCUAGCCUGGAUAACAAGGAGUACUAAACAGCAACAUAGGCCUUCUUCAUGUGCUUGGGCGAGGCCACCAUGAGGUUCCUACAAGGAAGAGCACAGACCGCCCCUGGCACAUCGCACAGGAGGGCGACGCCAGGCCGCCGUUCCAAUAAACGAUGGUGCCAUCACACGUGGCAAUCAGGUGGUCCG